CCUACGGGAGGCAGCAGUGAGGAAUAUUGGUCAAUGGGCGCGAGCCUGAACCAGCCAAGUAGCGUGAAGGAUGACUGCCCUACGGGUUGUAAACUUCUUUUAUAAAGGAAUAAAGUGAGACACGUGUGCCUUUUUGUAUGUACUUAUGAAUUAGGAACGGCUAACUCCGUGCCAGCAGCCGGGGUAAAUCGGGGGGACCGAGGGUUAUCCGGAUUUAGUGGGUUUAAAGGGAGCGUAGAUGGGUUGUUAAGUCAGUUGUGAAAGUUUGCGGCUCAACCGUAGAAUUGCCACUGAUACUGGCAGGCUUGAGUACAGUUGAGGUAGGCGGAAUACGUGGUGUAGCGGUGAAAUGCUUAGAUAUCACGAAGAACACCGAUUGCGAAGGCAGCUUACUAAGCUGCCACUGACAUUGAUGCUCGAAAGUGUGGGUAUCAAACAGGAUUAGAUACCCUUGUAGUC
Molecule: ribosomal RNA, 459 nt
Filed under: uncultured bacterium
Lineage: Bacteria
Description: partial 16S ribosomal RNA
Rfam family: Bacterial small subunit ribosomal RNA
Source: RNAcentral